CUAUUCUGGGAGAAUACGAGUUGGAGGCUUUUUGAUGCUUCGGGACUUGAAUAGCUUUGCAUAACUUAACGCACGAUGUAUACAUAUCUCAAACUGAAGGUGGAGACAAGCGAGUGGACUGUUAUGUGCCAAUUGAGUUGGUAAAAGCCAUGCCAACGGGAUAAAAUGAGACCUCGAAAAAAAAAAAAAAAAAAAUUCAUAUCAGGCACAGAACGAAACAAGUUCACCGCAAGCGUGGACUUAACGGGCUAGUUCGUCGCCUUGUCCGGCCCCUUAUUCUGACAUUAAUGUACUGUACGUUCCUCAACAAGGAGACAGACGAACAGUUUUGUUAUACCUAUGCCACAACAUUCAUAUAACGGUUUCAGAUACGAAC
This 376-nucleotide small RNA is filed under the name Histoplasma ohiense. RNAcentral describes it as "hypothetical lncRNA". The record is from RNAcentral. Lineage: Eukaryota; Fungi; Ascomycota; Eurotiomycetes; Onygenales; Ajellomycetaceae.